CCUACGGGAGGCUGCAGUGAGGAAUAUUGGUCAAUGGACGAGAGUCUGAACCAGCCAAGUAGCGUGAAGGAUGACUGUCCUAUGGGUUGUAAACUUCUUUUAUAUGGGAAUAAAACGUUCCACGUGUGGGAUUUUGUAUGUACCAUAUGAAUAAGGAUCGGCUAACUCCGUGCCAGCAGCCGCGGUAAUACGGAGGAUCCGAGCGUUAUCCGGAUUUAUUGGGUUUAAAGGGAGCGUAGGUAGAUUGUUAAGUCAGUUGUGAAAGUUUGCGGCUCAACCGUAAAAUUGCAGUUGAAACUGGCAGUCUUGAGUACAGUAGAGGUGGGCGGAAUUCGUGGUGUAGCGGUGAAAUGCUUAGAUAUCACGAAGAACUCCGAUUGCGAAGGCAGUUCACUGGACUGCAACUGACACUGAGGCUCGAAAGUGUGGGUAUCAAACAGGAUUAGAUACCCGUGUAGUC
Molecule: ribosomal RNA, 460 nt
Filed under: uncultured bacterium
Lineage: Bacteria
Description: partial 16S ribosomal RNA
Rfam family: Bacterial small subunit ribosomal RNA
Source: RNAcentral